RNAcentral lists this non-coding RNA (93 nucleotides) under Oxyrrhis marina. Lineage: Eukaryota; Dinophyceae; Oxyrrhinales; Oxyrrhinaceae. The record is from RNAcentral.
GGUGGCAACGGUUGUUUUCUUUGGCUUUGAGGCGUUGAUUCUGCGGUGGGCUUGCCGCCCUUCAAGAGAGGUGCUGUCAAGAGAUGCGGCGUA